UUGUGAUGACUUCUCAAGAUACUCAAAAGAGCUUGUAAUAACCAUGGAUAAUUUUAAGCUGCAUUACAAUAAUCUUAUAUUCACUGCCCUUCCUUUAUGAUCCCCACCCCAGCCCUACCAAAUUGGGAAGGCGGUUGCCAAGUGGUUCAACCAUCGCUGAGGGAUGGAAUAUUAUCAACAGAUCUUCCAUGAACACUAACUUCAGCGACUUUGUGCAAGAGUCGUCAAAACUACCCUUCGAGAAAGCCUACUAUGCUAUAGGCAGCACCUACAAAAAAAUAAAAUAAAAAUACAAGUUUAUUAAUUAAAUAUUUUGGUUUUCAGACUUCAGUUCGUUAAAGGAAGUUUAAUGUACAGAAGUUAAUUAGUCCACUCGUGAUUUUCAAUGCAAACUUAAAAAGCCAAUUUUAGUAACUAUUAUCUUACCGAUCACUUGUAUUAACCUCUUUUGUAUGUGUUUCAGGGAACAUCAAGCUGCGAGCAGUGCCUCUGCAGGAGCUGUGUCUGGGCAGCGCCAUCCAGGGCAGUUAUGUGACCAACAAGCCGUGGACGGUGCCUCUGCGGGAGCUGUGUCUGGGCAGUUAUGCAACCAACGAGAAGAAAGCUGUCCUGCCCCCGGUGCAGAGUGCAGCAUCGUGAUGGUCACAUCAACUUCCGAUGAUCAUCAGCGUUAUAACAAUGAAAAGAAACAACUAGAACUUGCACUUCUAAGAGCAAAUGUUG
This is a long non-coding RNA of Eriocheir sinensis (Chinese mitten crab), 723 nucleotides long. RefSeq lists it as uncharacterized. NCBI's taxonomy places the organism in Eukaryota, Metazoa, Arthropoda, Malacostraca, Decapoda, Varunidae. The record is from RefSeq and is a predicted model, not a curated record. The transcript has 3 exons.